AGCCACAGCCACGCCAGAUCCAAGCUGUGCCUGUGACCUACACCACAGCUCACAGCAAUGCCGGAUCCUUAACCCGCUCAAGGAGACCAGGGAUCGAACCUGCGUCCUCACGGAUACUACUCGGGUUUGUUCCCACUGAGCCCCAGUGGGAACUCCAGGACUAUAUUCUCUCAACAAUGGCACCCAGCUGUCUCAGGGAGCUGUCUGAGUCCUGAUUCUGCCACUCUGUGUGGGCACCACCCUUCCCACCUGUGUGUGACCUACAGAGCUGACAGGCAGGCCUUUGUGCGUGCCGCCACGAUGGAAAGAAACGUUGAGAAGGAUGAGACCAGCGCAGGCUGUUUUUACAAAAACAUAUCUGAAGCAAAGCCACGAGGACCCAACCAACAGCCCAGCAGGGAGAAGGCUCCCUUCUUCUGCAAGCCCGCAGGGACCCCCACGUCCUAGAGAGAACUGCACCGAGGUAUGUGACAUGGGGAAACCCUAGACCAGCGUGGGGGAUGCUCCCCACCCCUCCUGGGGACAGGUGGCAAAGACUGACGUCAGUUUUGGUUGCCACAACGGGGGCGGGGUGUGGGAUGCGUGCUUCUGUCACCCGCAGGGUACAGACCCAAGGGGCUACAACACACGGGACGGCACCCACCCCUAACAAAGAGCCAUGCAGCUCAAAAGGUCAGCAGUGCUGAGGCUGAGGAACCCUGUCCUGGAUCGCCCACUCAUAAAGUCAAAAACAAUAACACAUGGUAAGUUUUGACAUGGUGGACGCCCCGAGGAAAAGGUCCCUGUGACUUAGUGAGACACACCGUUCACGGAGAUGCUGGCACGCUAGCAAGGUGGAGAAUGGGGCGUCCGCACUCUCCCACCUCUCCCCGCCUCACUCGACAAUCAGCAACAGUAAGACGUCCAGAGGCUGCUUUCCAUUCUGAAGUGUCAUCAACUGCAGCUCUAUUAUUGUUCAAACAUGUAGAGUAAGCAGACUAUUUUUAACACAGGCAGUUGCUCCAAAAUGCUCAGCAUUAAUGACUAGUUACGAGCGUUACACAAUUAUCAUUUCAAAUCAUUCUAAUUCCUCAGGUUCACUUGUUUGCAUGCUUAUGACAAUGCUUGCACAGGAACUAACUUCUGAUUUCUUCUCCUUAAGAGAUAAAUUUCAAAUGUUAUUUUGACGAUGCGUUUUCUUGGUAUGUCUAUACUUUCAUAAAUAGCACAAAGAUGAUUUAUUUGUUUGCAAAUGGAGCACUGAGCAGAAUGUCACCAAGUAAUUACUACUUUUAAAUUAUUUUGAUGUUUAUAAUGUUCACAAGAAAUCAAAACUAAGGUAUCUAAUUUCUACCACACAACUCAGGAUCCAAGCCACGUCUGCAAACUACACCACAGCUCAUGGCAACACUGAAUCCUUAACCCACUGAUCGAGGCCAGGGAUGGAACCCACAUCCUCAGGGAUACUAGUUGGGUUGGUUACUGCUGAGCCACAAGGGAAACUCCCUAAUUCCUACCACUGUUUAUUAGCUAAAAUAAUGUAAAUACUAGAGAGGGAAGGAAAGAAUCCAUGCAUCUUCCACUUUCCUGCAACUGUCUGAUACAUAACCUAGAUGAGUCAGAAAUCCCCAAAUGCCCUCUGCCGCCCAGGUCGCAAUUACAAGCCAACGGCCAGAGACCUCUGCGCUUUCUGAUUCUCAGUGGCCAGAGGACACUGUCUGAAGAAUCAUUCUGUCGCAUGGUGACUGCAAAAGGUCUCCAGAAUUCUUUCAGAAAGUACUGUGGAACAUUACAGAAUCAAGAUAAUACCAACGUCUUUCCAUCAAAGACCAGACAGGAAAACAACAGCAGCUAAUUAUCGUUGGGGAUUCUUGAUUCAUUGCAGCCUGGGAGACCACACACCUUGGGGCCUCCUCAGCAUCUCUGUGAAGUGUUACCGUAGAAGGUGGGCCUGUGUUAAGAGACUUGAGGGAGGCGUCAAGAAAGUAAGGCUUUGCUUUGAACUGGAUGCUGUAAGAAAGCAGAGGUAAUUCCACCAGUGGGCAUCUUGAUAAAGUCAUCUAGGAGGCAGCAAGGGAAGCUGUAAUGAGUCAAGAGGAGCAAUCAGUCCCAUUACCCAAGAACGUGGGAGAUGUGGUCAUUUUGCAGUGUGGAGGAUGUGUGCAUUUUUGUCCACGAUCCAACUUGAUCAUGGAGCAGUCUUGCUUUUUUUUUUCCUUGACCACUGCGGUUUUAGAUCAGCCUUGUCUGACACUGGUAAUUCUGUGAAAUGGUUUCUGUUCAGCAAGAGAACACCAGGACCUAGGUGCGAAAGCCAGGCUGGCCCCCGGCUGCUUUUCUGUCUCUCAGUGAGAACAUGAGCCCAGCCGCAAGGAAAGGGAGGUUUGGUCUCCUGCAAUCUAAAUCCACAAAGAGCCUGCCUCUGCUGGUCAGCACGCAGCCAACCUCCACGCUGGGUCCAAGGAGAAGCGUCACUUUGGAGACCUAUGUCAACGAUUUACACUAACUCGGAGUUCCCAACAUGGCUCAGUGGCAAGGAACCUGACUAGGAGCCAUGAGGACUCGGGUUCAAACCUUGGCCUCAAUCAGUGGUUUAAGGAUCUGUCCUUGUCGUGAGCGGUGGCGUAGGUCACAGACGUGGCUCAGAUCUGGCAUUGCUGUGGUGCAGGCUGGCAGCUGUAGCUCCAAUUUGACCCCUAGCUUGGAAACUUCCAUAUGCCGCAGGUGCCACCCCCCCCAAAAAAAAAAAA
Molecule: long non-coding RNA, 2729 nt
Filed under: Sus scrofa (pig)
Lineage: Eukaryota; Metazoa; Chordata; Mammalia; Artiodactyla; Suidae
Description: lncRNA (ENSSSCG00050061704.1)
Source: RNAcentral